Molecule: long non-coding RNA, 1097 nt
Organism: Balaenoptera ricei (Rice's whale)
Lineage: Eukaryota; Metazoa; Chordata; Mammalia; Artiodactyla; Balaenopteridae
Exons: 4
Source: RefSeq, a predicted model, not a curated record
AGAGAGGGCUGCUGGGCGGUGACCAGGUCUCAGUGAGGGGCUGGACCCCUCGGCGGGCACUUGCAGCCAAGGCAUCACCAGCAGUCUCCUUCCGCCCCAAAACGCGCCCUAAAGUAGGGUGUGCGGACGCGGCUGCAGCAGAUCCCGGUCCCCCUGGCGCGCGCCGCGCCGCCGCCGAUGCAGCACGGUCGCAGCGACCUUCCCGCCCGGGGCUCCGUAAGCCCCGUUACCCACGUCGGCCACACACCCCACGAGAAAAAGGGAGGAGGACGCACAACAAAGCCUAACCCGAGGAGGCCCAAGCGAGCUGCUUCUCUCAUGGCGCAGUGGUUAAGAAUCUGCCUGCCAAUGCAGGGGACACGGAUUCGAGCCCUGGUCCGGGAAGAUCCCACAUGCCGCAGAGCAACUAAGACCGUGCACCACAACUACUGAGCCUGCGCUCUAGAGCCCGCGGGCCACAACUACUGAGCCCACACGCCUAGAGCCCGUGCUCCGCAACAAGAGAAGCCACCACAAUGAGAAGGCCGCACACCGCAGUGAAGAGUAGCCGUCGCUCACCACAACUAGAGAAAGCCCGCGCACAGCAAUGAAGACACAAUGCAGCCAAAAAUAAAUAAAUAAAAAAUAAAAAUAAAGCUUAUUUAAAAAAACUACUUAAUUGCUCAAAGAUUCUAACCAUCACCGGAGGCUUCGAUACCUUGGAGCCCCAUUCUCAUCUCUUUGGCCCACCUCUGUUUCAUCUGCUGAGAGUUCAGGUUCAUCUCCUGUUGACAAGGUCCCACCUCAAGCAGGUCAUUUCAGCUGUUCCGUGAGGAAAAUGGUCUCAGAGCUGUGAUUCCAUUAGGAAUGAGAGGAGGUAGGGAAUUCUUUCUAUUAUAGAAUGUGGCAGAAAAAUUUUAAGGAGUUCUUGGCUGCAUUAGAUUUCCUGUGGGUUGGGAAAUCAAGAAAUUAAUGGCUACAGUACUAAAAUAGACAGUGAUCAGUGCUUGUGAAUAGAAUUGCUUCAUUACUAAACCAACUCAGCCUUACUGUUGGUAGGUUAAGACAACUGUAACAUGUGACUACCAAAAGAAUCUUUCUUUUUGUUUUGAUUUUGA